Molecule: long non-coding RNA, 2201 nt
Organism: Oryctolagus cuniculus (rabbit)
Lineage: Eukaryota; Metazoa; Chordata; Mammalia; Lagomorpha; Leporidae
Source: Ensembl
GGGGUAGGGGUGGGGUCAGCUUUAGUUGACCAACCAUGCCUUGAGGAUAAAUUCGAGGGGACCAGAGCAAAAGAGACGACAGGAGAACUCCUCCAAUACAUAGGCUGCUCCAGAGCUUCCAAAGGACUUUCAGCACUUCAUCCCCAAAUCUCUCUGCACGGACGUCACCAGAGACUCAACAAGGUGCCUGUGGCACAGGAUCUGCCUUCAGGACCCUCAGAGCUCAGCCCAGGGACCCUCACUUCAGAAAAGGUGGGAGCCACAGAAAGGGAGGGUCUUCCUGCAGAAUGCCAUAGGCAGUGCCAGACCGAAACCAUCAUACUCUGUUCAGAGUCCAGUGUACUUUGCAGGGCACCACCCAGCACCAGGGAAAGGCCCAGGGUGUGCUGGAGCUGCUACAGGUGGAAAAUGAGGACUACUCUCACGGUUUUCUCUCUGGGGUCCUCUCCCUGUCCCUCUCAUGACUGUCACCCUAGGCAUGGCUUGACUGCACCCACAGCUAUUUCCCCUGAUGGGAGGGGACAGGGAGCUGUGGGGGAGAUUCAGAGAGUACCCCCAGGAAGCCCACCCUGCUUUAUAACUAAUGAUGCCACAACAGAGGGCCAACUCUGCCCCAUCCUCAGGGGAUCUUUGCCAGCAAUCUUCUGCACUGAGUGCGACCGUGGAGGCCAUUUUUCAGUUGCGGGAACUUCAGCCUGCAGAGUGAAAUUACUUGCCCAACACUGCAUCCAGAACCAAAGCUCCUCUCACCCUUCUGAGCUCACUGGGCUGCCCAGAGGCUGCCCAUUUUGCAGACCCUUGCUUUAGAAAGUCCCGGGUUCAAACUGAAUUUGGGGAAAGUAAGACUACUGAGAAAUACAAUGGAGGAGAAAGAAACCCAGCCCGCUCCCUUUGGAGGUGAAGAAGUGUGCUGAGCCAGGCAGCCGGGACUGCCACUUUUCCUGCUGUUUAACUUGUGUUUCUGGAGCGCUGUGAGCAAACACAGUCUUGAAGUCUGGAGUACAGAGGAAUGAGGGAGAGGAAUGUGGGAAGGGACCGUGCGCUGAACCAAGAAACUGCUAAGACCUUUAAAUAUCUCUUGAACUUUUUCUUUCCUUUUCUUGCUUUUGGCUCCCUGCAAUGUUUUGUGUUUAGCUCUGGUUGCCACGAGUGGGCUGUUUUUAGCUGCUUCGUUCCUUCCCGUCUCCUUUUAAUUUUUUUCUCCCUUCCUUUUGCACAAGCCCCAGCAUGAAGUCUCCAGUUCUUAUCUCACUCAGCAAAAACAAACCAAGGCUGAUCUGAAUUGUGGAAUCCCCAGGCGGCUCUCCAGGGAAAACCUCUGCAGUAAUCAAGUCUCCUUCGCUGAAGAUUAACCCCUAACAUAACCCUAACCAGGACCUAUCCGAGGCGGGAGAGACGUUGCUCGCCUUUGUGGAGACAAGGGGUUUUGGAGCGGGGCGCUUCCCUUGCCUCCCACCGGCACGGCACAGCCUGUGCGUGUGAUGAGGGUGUGACCCUGCACACUGUGGGCAUCAAGUCAGGAGCGAGGACGCACGAGGCUCACAUACGGGUCAUCCUCCCCGCCCCCCGCUGCCGCCGUGGCACCGACUGCGGGUGCUCUUCCCUUCUCCUGCCCUUUCAGUCUCCCUCCAGGUCGGCGGGCGCUGAUUUCACAGUUUUCCUGGGGAAAAGAGGGGAGGAGAGCAGGUAGAAGUAGUUUUUGUUGUCCUUGGAUACUAAGUUUCAUUCAAGUCGGGGCGGGGAGGGGGGUGGCCCGACUUCUCCAGCGAGAUUCUUAUCGCUCUUCAAGUUUCGGGAGGAGAGCGGGCAGGCAGUGCCCGCCUGGGACUCCCUGUACGCAGCCCAUACCGCCUCCACCGCCUGCGUGACCUGGAGAUGCGAGCCUAAGUAAGAGUGAUGAGAAGGAUCAGGAUUGGUGGGAGGAGCUGCAGGCACCGCGGUAACACAAACAAGCCGACGAAGCAUAGCGGACGUCUCUGGGGUCUUCCUCGCCCUCCCCUCGCACGCUUCUGUGGACGCCGCUCUGUAUGUUCACUGGGUGCUCUAACCUGAGUCUGCGUUUAUGGGGUUCCACAGUUCUUCGGUGGCUUCCGUGAAUUCAUGGACUCACAGCUUACCCCCUCCCCCCACCCCAGUACACAGCGCUGCAGACGGCUCACAGAGAAAAUAAACAAAUCAACAAAUAAAGGGAACGCGUCCCG